AACGAACGCUGGCGGCAUGCCUAACACAUGCAAGUCGAACGAGAUCUUCGGGUCUAGUGGCGCACGGGUGCGUAACGCGUGGGAAUCUGCCCUUUGGUUCGGAAUAACAGUUGGAGACGACUGCUAAUACCGGAUGAUGACGAAAGUCCAAAGAUUUAUCGCCAGAGGAUGAGCCCGCGUAGGAUUAGCUAGUUGGUGUGGUAAAGGCGCACCAAGGCGGCGAUCCUUAGCUGGUCUGAGAGGAUGAUCAGCCACACUGGGACUGAGACACGGCCCAGACUCCUACGGGAGGCAGCAGUGGGGAAUAUUGGACAAUGGGCGAAAGCCUGAUCCAGCAAUGCCGCGUGAGUGAUGAAGGCCUUAGGGUUGUAAAGCUCUUUUACCCGGGAUGAUAAUGACAGUACCGGGAGAAUAAGCUCCGGCUAACUCCGUGCCAGCAGCCGCAGUAA
This 449-nucleotide ribosomal RNA is filed under the name uncultured bacterium. RNAcentral describes it as "partial 16S ribosomal RNA". It matches the Rfam family "Bacterial small subunit ribosomal RNA", at positions 29 to 523 of the family's 1533-position model. The record is from RNAcentral.